Tupaia belangeri chinensis (Chinese tree shrew) is the source of this 312-nucleotide long non-coding RNA. RefSeq lists it as uncharacterized. The transcript is spliced from 3 exons. Lineage: Eukaryota; Metazoa; Chordata; Mammalia; Scandentia; Tupaiidae. The record is from RefSeq and is a predicted model, not a curated record.
AGCCAAUGAGUACCAGCAGGAGGUCUCACUGUCACUGAACAAGUCAUCUUUAUGCAGUAUUCUGAACACAUACAUGAGAAGUUAAUGUUUGUUUGCACAGCUCUGCUUAAUAUAAUGAUAAGAUUUCUCUCUAGGCCUCCGGCCUAGAGCUGAAAUUAUCAAGUGGGCCUGGGACUGAAGUUAGCAAGCUUGCUGAAAAAACUCUCAUCCAGAAGGCCAUUCCCAGUAAUCAAGAUCAAAGAAGAAAAUAUACCAGACGGAUGGACUCCCUCACCCUGAGGACUGUGAUUGACUUCACCUGAUCAAACAGAA